UUCCAGACUCCUACGGGAGGCAGCAGUGGGGAAUAUUGCACAAUGGGGGGAACCCUGAUGCAGCGACGCCGCGUGGGUGAAGAAGCGCCUCGGCGCGUAAAGCCCUGUCAGCAGGGAAGAAAAUGACGGUACCUGAAGAAGAAGCCCCGGCUAACUACGUGCCAGCAACCGCGGUAAUACGUAGGGGGCAAGCGUUAUCCGGAUUUACUGGGUGUAAAGGGGGCGCAGACGGCGAUGCAAGCCAGGAGUGAAAGCCCGGGGCCCAACCCCGGGACUGCUCUUGGAACUGCGUGGCUGGAGUGCAGGAGGGGCAGGCGGAAUUCCUGGUGUAGCGGUGAAAUGCGUAGAUAUCAGGAGGAACACCGGUGGCGAAGGCGGCCUGCUGGACUGCAACUGACGUUGAGGCCCGAAAGCGUGGGGAGCAAACAGGAUUAGAUACCCGGGUA
Molecule: ribosomal RNA, 446 nt
Filed under: uncultured bacterium
Lineage: Bacteria
Description: bacterial SSU rRNA
Rfam family: Bacterial small subunit ribosomal RNA
Source: RNAcentral